UACACAUCUGAUCACCUGGGCGUC
RNAcentral lists this microRNA (24 nucleotides) under Equus caballus (horse). RNAcentral's name for it is "eca-miR-9053". The record is from miRBase by way of RNAcentral. Lineage: Eukaryota; Metazoa; Chordata; Mammalia; Perissodactyla; Equidae.